Molecule: ribosomal RNA, 534 nt
Filed under: uncultured bacterium
Lineage: Bacteria
Description: bacterial SSU rRNA
Rfam family: Bacterial small subunit ribosomal RNA
Source: RNAcentral
ACUAAAUAGAUACCCGGGUAGUCCACGCCCUAAACGAUGUCUACUAGUUGUUGGUGGAGUAAAAUCCAUGAGUAAACGCAGCUAAACGCGUGAAGUAGACCGCCUGGGGAGUACGGUCGCAAGAUUAAAACUCAAAGGAAUUGACGGGGCCCGCACAAGCGGUGGAUUAUGUGGAUUAAUUCGAUGCAACGCGAAAAACCUUACCUGGCCUUGACAUGCCACUAACGAAGCAGAGAUGCAUUAGGUGCCCGUAAGGGAAAGUGGACACAGGUGCUGCAUGGCUGUCGUCAGCUCGUGUCGUGAGAUGUUGGGUUAAGUCCCGCAACGAGCGCAACCCUUGCCAUUAAUUGCCAUCAUUUAGUUGGGCACUUUAAUGGGACUGCCGGUGACAAACCGGAGGAAGGUGGGGAUGACGUCAAGUCCUCAUGGCCCUUAUGGCCAGGGCCUCACACGUAAUACAAUGGUCGGUACAGAGAGUUGCCAACCCGCGAGGGGAGCUAAUCUCAGAAAGCCGAUCGUAGUCCGGAUUGUUCU